Xenia sp. Carnegie-2017 is the source of this 506-nucleotide long non-coding RNA. RefSeq lists it as uncharacterized. The transcript is spliced from 4 exons. Lineage: Eukaryota; Metazoa; Cnidaria; Anthozoa; Malacalcyonacea; Xeniidae. The record is from RefSeq and is a predicted model, not a curated record.
AUGUGGUAACCAAGAAUUUGGAAGUGUAAUACCGCUAAAUUUAUCUUUCUGAUUCGAAAGUAAAACACUAAAACUUGGAGUAAGUUAGAAGACUUCAUUACCGAAUGGUGGCGGGUGGCGAAUUUCAAGAGAGAACAAGCGUAAUGUUUGUGAUGUUUGGUUUGAUACUGUAAACCAGUAGAAAAAGCAGCCAUUUGUUCUUCUGUGCAAGAAUGACCAGCAAAUUGAAGUUGAUAGUAAAUGGCCAUUUCAUUGUACUUGCUUCGUCGAGUUCCUUUGUUGAGAGCUUCCAUUCCAACGCCAUGGGUAUAUGUAAUCUAGGAGAAACGCAUGGAAGGAGACCAAUCGCAGCAUUUCUUUUCUCUUCAUCUAUAAAAUAGUUUAUAAAUAAAAGUCAGUGUUUUUGGACUUUAGAUGAAGAAAGUAUUUCAUGUAUUACAUAUGUUUCAUGCACAUGUAACUGUUUUUGCAAUUUUCACCGGAAUUCAGGUUUCUUGUAUAUUCAA